This 374-nucleotide ribosomal RNA is filed under the name uncultured organism. RNAcentral describes it as "partial 16S ribosomal RNA". It matches the Rfam family "Bacterial small subunit ribosomal RNA", at positions 527 to 896 of the family's 1533-position model. The record is from RNAcentral.
GUAGGUGGCAAGCGUUGUCCGGAAUUAUUGGGCGUAAAGCGCGCGCAGGCGGUUCUUUAAGUCUGAUGUGAAAGCCCACGGCUCAACCGUGGAGGGUCAUUGGAAACUGGAGAACUUGAGUACAUAAGAGGAAAGCGGAAUUCCACGUGUAGCGGUGAAAUGCGUAGAGAUGUGGAGGAACACCAGUGGCGAAGGCGGCUUUCUGGUCUGUAACUGACGCUGAGGCGCGAAAGCGUGGGGAGCAAACAGGGAUUAGAUACCCUGGUAGUCCACGCCGUAAACGGUGAGUGCUAAGUGUUAGGGGGUUUCCCGCCCCUUAGUGCUGCAGCUAACGCAUUAAGCACUCCGCCUGGGGGAGUACGGCCGCAAGGCUG